RNAcentral lists this long non-coding RNA (1896 nucleotides) under Neodiprion lecontei (redheaded pine sawfly). Its description in RNAcentral is "uncharacterized LOC124293950, transcript variant X1". Lineage: Eukaryota; Metazoa; Arthropoda; Insecta; Hymenoptera; Diprionidae. The record is from RNAcentral.
CUCGUCUCACGCCGUAGGCGAAAAGGUUCAGUUCGCGUCGAUCGCUGACGGCGUGCGGUUGGCAGUUAAUCGGUGCGGAACGAUCCGAAGUACAACGCGAAGUAAGAUGAAAGUGCGUUUAAUUAAAAUUGCCUGAUACACGAAAUCGACGGCUAAUUGUAAAACUAGCCACGCAAAGUUGGCGUUUUUUGAUCAGUGCUUUAACGGCCGCUUUCCGAUCGAACGCCUAACGGCUGGCUGACCCGUCUUCGAAAUCAUUCGCCGCGCACUUCACGCCGGUACGCGGAGGCUACGUGAUCGAAAUUUCACGUCCGGAUAACAAAGUCACCCCGAAUUCGUAUCCGUUCUCGAAUAUGUCGAUCGUUUCACCGGUUUUUUCAUCCAUCUCAAGAUCGCAGACUGUUUUGUUUUUCAGUAAAGUGCCGAGAUAUGACACGUAUCGUUGUUUGUCGGGAAUAACUACGAUCCGUUGAACGGGUUCAAUAUUUUGCGUUGUGAUGAGAGAGAGAGAGAGAGAGAGAGAGAGACACAGGGAGAGCAAAAAAAAAUCGUAAACAUCCGAAGAUCACGCGAGUAUAAUCCUGCUUGUUUUACGCUCACCAGUGAACACAUAAAUACAUGAAACCCAUAAAACCGUGUUCGAUUUGAAUACCUUUUCUAAAUAACGAGACUAAUAGAAUAAAGUAAUUGCAUAAAUAGCCUCGCGCGCUUCUUCGUCAACAAUUCCUUCCUGAAACCAGCUAUAUAUUGGUUAUGACUCGACGAUGCUGAAAGGUCAUUUAGGUGCACGAAGAGUAGAAGAAGAAGAAGAAACCUCUCGGAUCGAGAUGAAGGUGCUGCCAUAGAAACCGGAAGUUGAGUAAAACGGAAAAUCUUUUCGAAGAGCGUGAAAAGCCGAGGGGGAACGCGACGCCGGGGAUAAAACAGCGGCGGUAAUUCCGGAUGAAGCCGGUGCGGAGCACCUGCCAGAUCAUCCGGACAUUUCGACGGGUGGUUGCAGCUUGGAUGCAGCCGGCGCAACGACUCUCUUCUCUCCGAGGAGAUGCUGGUGCAGCUGAGCAGCUAAGAUGUGACGUCACGGUGGCCGCCCGGUCUCGGGACUAAUAUGGCAAACCGGUCAACCGGUCUGACGAUCCCCGGUUUCGAACCAGCUCCUCCUUCACCGUCUGCCGGAUAACUGUUCAAAAAGAUCGGAACCAUCGCGCGGCAUCGCCUGCUUGCUCUUUAACGUCAAUUUUAUUUUUACUUUUACGUAAUAAUUGCUCGAUUUCGGAUUUUUUGGUAGACAUCGCAUCCUGAGUCGUGAAAUGUUACACGAUCGAAAGAUGCCUACGACAUUUUUUAUCUUAACAAUUAUCUUUUUCUUUUUUCAACAAACAAUUUCCCCAAUCAUUUUUCGUUACAUGGUUUUCGAGUCUUACUAGUUCAACCGUUGUUACAGUAUAAUUAAUUACUAGUGCGGUAUUGUUCAGCCGGAAUUGGAAUUACCACUUUUCUCAGACUCAUUUUUUUUUUUUUUUGAAUAUAAUUGAAACACCUUUGGCUGGCAAUUGUUCAUUAAUAUUACAUUUUAUAUUUCUUCUCGUAGGAGGUAGAAUGUAUAAUGAGCUCCGUUUUUUUUUUGCAUAGUCUCAAGAACUGUAAUAAAAUUUGAAGCCAGAUAUCUUGAGUCUGAAAAUUCGAUCAUCAAUAUUUCGGAAAACAAUCACAAUACGUGACUGGGAAAAUGUUUACACAUUGUACAUAUAAUAUUUUCACUAUUUUUUAUUCAAAAUUGAUUCAGACCGUUUCCAUUCACGGAUGACACUGUUGUAAUAAUUUAUUUAUAAAUAACCUAGAACCUCAAGUUACAAGUACGAAGGAAUAAAAUGUUAAUAAAUUUGAAGAAAAACCGAA